Non-coding RNA from Vigna umbellata (rice bean), 534 nucleotides. Lineage: Eukaryota; Viridiplantae; Streptophyta; Magnoliopsida; Fabales; Fabaceae. The record is from RefSeq and is a predicted model, not a curated record.
ACGGUGAAGAGGGCGAGGGUUUGUAGAGUCACUGUAAAAGUGGAACUGUAGAGGGGAAGCAAAUCCAAUAUCUUAUCUCAUCAUCGUCAUCAUCAUAUACCCUUUAUUCAGAAUCACUCAAAGAAAAGUAAGAACAGUGUUGAGAAAAAUAAAGAGAAAGGAAGAGAUUAAGCAGACAUGGAUGGGUUGCAGGUAGCUCUUCCGAUUGUGGGAGUUCUUGCGGCGGCAGCUGUGACUUUCUAUGCAGUGAGCUUUUCUGAGCUUAAAGAGAAAUCGUUUAGAGAUUUGGAAGAAUCUGAAUAUGAAGAUGGAGUUUAUAGGCCAUCCCCUAGCUCCCGAGAGAGGCGUGCCAGAAGACAAGCUAACAAAAAUAAUAAAAAAUGAACCUUAUUAUUAAGCUUGUGUUUAGAUAGAGUUUAGUGUUUUUAAUCAGAAACAAAACUGGAUUUUCAAUAUAAAACAAUCUCAAAGGUUAUUGUAUCGAAACAAAGUUUAGGGAUUUUCUUUUUCGAAUGAUAUGUAGUUGUCUAUUUA